UGUCACCACCACGUGUCAUCUUCUGUUGUUCGACAGAUACUUAAAUACAGUACUGUGCACCCUCGUCUGCAGCCCAAACAGUCAUCGCCCUGUCUCGGCCUAUACCCAAACCAGCUGUUACCUCUACCCAGUGAUGUGCCUUCAUCCGCAGCCAAAACGAAGUCUCAUGCAGCACCCAGGACUGUGCCCUCGUCAGCAGCCCAAACGGUCAUCGCCCUGUCUCUGCUUCUACCCAGGUCUCCCAACUGCGGUCUGCAUCUCUACUCUCAGCCCAUUCACCUGCUGUU
Long non-coding RNA from Engraulis encrasicolus (European anchovy), 287 nucleotides. RefSeq lists it as uncharacterized. NCBI's taxonomy places the organism in Eukaryota, Metazoa, Chordata, Actinopteri, Clupeiformes, Engraulidae. The record is from RefSeq and is a predicted model, not a curated record. The transcript is spliced from 3 exons.